This 324-nucleotide ribosomal RNA is filed under the name uncultured eukaryote. Its description in RNAcentral is "partial 18S ribosomal RNA". It matches the Rfam family "Eukaryotic small subunit ribosomal RNA", at positions 1470 to 1796 of the family's 1831-position model. The record is from RNAcentral.
CCCUUAGAUGUUCUGGGCCGCACGCGCGCUACAAUGAUGAAUUCAACGAGUUUAUAACCUUGGUUGAAAAGCCUGGGUAAUCUUUUGAACUUUCGUCGUGAUGGGGCUAGACCCUUGCAAUUAUUGGUCUCCAACGAGGAAUUCCUAGUAAACGCAAGUCAUCAGCUUGCAUUGAUUACGUCCCUGCCCUUUGUACACACCGCCCGUCGCACCUACCGAUUGAGUGAUCCGGUGAAUUAUUCGGACUGCAACGUGUCCAGUUCUGGAUGCAGUUGCGGAAAGUUUUGUGAACCUUACCACUUAGAGGAAGGAGAAGUCGUAACA